RNAcentral lists this long non-coding RNA (1656 nucleotides) under Mus musculus (house mouse). RNAcentral's name for it is "long non-coding RNA chr19:37222796-37224452". Lineage: Eukaryota; Metazoa; Chordata; Mammalia; Rodentia; Muridae. The record is from RNAcentral.
AUGCUAGGUAUACACUACAUCACCAGCCCUCCUUUUAGAUUUUAGUUGUCAUAUUAAGGGGGCGAUCUCCUUACUAGUCAUUGUUUAACUAGUUUUAUAUUCAUUGUUCAAAAGCAAUUAUUUAGGUCAUGUUUAAUAGUGACCAUUACAAUGUUCAGCAAUCUGAUUAGAAUGAAAAAUUUUUUUUAAAGAUUUAUUUAUUUAUUAUAUGUAAGUACACUGUAGCUGUCUUCAGACACUCCAGAAGAGGGAGUCAGAUCUCAUUAUGGGUGGUUGUGAGCCACCAUGUGGUUGCUGGGAUUUGAACUCCGGACCUUCGGAAGAACAGUCGGGUGCUCUUACCCGCUGAGCCAUCUCACCAGCCCCUAGAAUGAAAAUUUUUAAAGUUUAAAAAAUAAUGCUGUUCACAGUAUAUGAUGCAUGAUAAUGCUCCCCCUUUCUGCGAAAUGGAUACUUCUCUUUAGAAGUGUAACAAAUAUAGAUUGAGCUGUGUUAGAUUGUAAAUAAAUAUUUUAGUAAAGACUGGUAUCUUUCUCUAGGUUGGUUAUCUCAGUUUUGAGUUUUACGGUGUCUGUGGGAAUGACUCUUUUGAACAUCCAGAGUUGUAAUUAUCUAGGGUAUAAGGGGCAAUUUGACUGAGUUAACCUUAACACUGCUGUUAUUCUGUAGAGAAAAUGUGAACCCUGAUUAUAUAUAAAAAUAACUAAGAUCUACAGCUGUAAUUAUGAAAUUGGCUUCCAUCAUUGCCAGUGUGAAAAUAUAUAUAUUCUGACAUUUCCUGGAUACUCCUGUUAAGUUGAGCAGCUUUUACACAGCCACAAGCCCUCAGCUCCCUGUGUACUACUUUAAUUUCCGGGGUGGUGGUGGGGGGUGGGGAGCUGCUUGGAUCGAUCUAUUGGCAUCAAGGCCCGUGAAGGCAGAGGUUUAUAGAGCUAUGGGGAGGGAGCCACACUUGUCUGCAGUCCAGAGUGAACACUAGCCCUGCUGCAUUUGAACACCACAUGACAGGCCUCCCUGGAACCACAAAUCAAAAGACAUGGGCAGACUGAAAGCUGAAUAGGUUACGUUGAGCUCCCAUCAAGUUUUAGUAGCUGUAGUGUAUAACCUUGGCCAGGUGGCUAUUCAGCCACAGUUACGUUCAUCUCUAAAAUGCAAGUCACACCUAGACACUUUCUAGGAUUUGGUUGAGAAAAGACAGGUACUUUCGGCCUCAGUAGCUCCUAAAGGUGGUCGUCCCAUCUAGGACAGGGCAGUAACCAAGGGUAGGGCCCUCGAGGACAGAGCCAGCACAGACUUGAGGAUUUGUGAGUAUGCUGUUCUCCGAUUUUCUUUCUUUUUCUUCCUUCCUUCCUUCCUUCCUUCCUUCCUUCCUUCCUUCCUUCCUUCCUUUCUUUUUGUCCUAGAAAUGUCACAUUUAAACCUUUUUUUAAAAAAAUUAGAAUUCAGUGAUUAGUAAAAUUCUAUUGUAGAAGUUAACUCCAUCUAAGUUGGCUGAAAAUGUUCAUUACUUACCAAAUGGUUGAAGAAUAUAUAAUUAAGUGGCUUCAUUAGUCACUGCCUUGCUAAUUUUGCUGUAUUUUUUUUUCUAAUUCCUUGUUUUUAAUAUAGAAAACUCAAUACUGGCUGAAAUAGGUUGAAUAAACAAUUUUUAUGCUC